AUGUCGGCAAGUCCGGACGAAGAAUUCUCGUUUUCCAAAAAAGAAAUAUUGGCAAAGACACGAAAACCAGAGACCAGAGGAAUAAGACACAGAAAAGAUCAUGCACACAGCCUUUUGGCUCUUGGAAACCAGUGCCCCGGGUGUAUGAAUAUUUUUUUUCCAAAAAAUUAUAUGCACGCAGAUUUCCAUGAAAUGCCCAAACUUGUUUAUGCACAGGACUUAUUUACUCACGUGAGACCUGGUCUCAUAGAAUUCUUUUCCGUUCUGGAUAUUUAUCAGCUCAACAAACAUGUAGAUUACUAA
This 303-nucleotide ribosomal RNA is filed under the name Triticum aestivum (bread wheat). RNAcentral describes it as "partial small subunit ribosomal RNA". The record is from RNAcentral. Lineage: Eukaryota; Viridiplantae; Streptophyta; Magnoliopsida; Poales; Poaceae.